RNAcentral lists this ribosomal RNA (253 nucleotides) under uncultured archaeon. Its description in RNAcentral is "partial 16S ribosomal RNA". It matches the Rfam family "Archaeal small subunit ribosomal RNA", at positions 474 to 726 of the family's 1478-position model. The record is from RNAcentral.
UCCCGACGCUCCAAGUCGCAGCCACAAUUAUUGGGUCUAAAACAUUCGUAGCUCGCUUUGUAAGUUCUUUGUGAAAUCUGACAUCUUAAGUGUCAGGCGCGCAAGGAAUACUGCAAAGCUAGGGACUGGAGGAAGUAAGGAGUACGGCCGAGGUAGUAGUAAAAUAUGUUAAUCUUGGUUGGACUAACAACAGCGAAGGCACCUUACUAAUACAGAUCCGACAGUGAGGAAUGAAGGCUAGGGUCGCGAAACG